Non-coding RNA from Danio rerio (zebrafish), 2071 nucleotides. NCBI's taxonomy places the organism in Eukaryota, Metazoa, Chordata, Actinopteri, Cypriniformes, Danionidae. The record is from RefSeq and is a predicted model, not a curated record.
GUAAAAGCAAACAUGGUAUUUAAUUAAAAAUAUUAAAUUGACCUUAAUCAAUUUUUAUCAACCUGCUAUUAACACUCACUUUUAGUAAGUUACUUGUACUUUGAGGUUGAAAAAUCUUACCAGCUCAGUCUGCUUGAGCUGGAUUAAUUUAGAAAAAGUAAGUUUAUGACACUGUGGGCAUGCGCAGAUCAAUCAAUCAUCCCCAACCAAUCAAGCUGCUUCGUAAGGCGGGUCUUGGCGUGGCGGGAUUCGUAAUUUUGCAAACGGUAGAUGAAGCUGGAUAUCAUUGAGCUGGACCUAAACAUCGCUUCAACGGCACUUGUGAUUAUCGUCAGCAUAACAGCGAUUCUUGUGCUUGGCACACUCAUUUGUUUCCUUCCAGGCACAAGCAUAUGGUGAUCAAUCCACACAUUCCAUAAUCCCAGCAAUAAAAGAUACUGUGGGUUCGAUUUAUAGUCCAUCAUACCCAGGACAACAGUUCCCUUGAUGUCUAACCACAUAAGCGAGUCAUUUACCAUUUACUUUUUGUACUGCUGUAUUCACUUGUCUUAAAGAAGUUCAUUGAUUAAAAGCUUGAUAAUUAGAUUUUUGCAAGGAUUUAGUUUUUCCUAUAGCUCUGGUAUUUCAAAUCUGAUACUGCAUUUGAGUGUUUUUGUCUUUUUAUGUUGCUAGGCUUGAUGCUAAAAUUAUCUUUUCUUUCUUUUCAGAUUUUCAAACAGUUAUCAAAAUGGACCAGAGGUUGUUACUGAGAGUCAUCAUCGCAGAAGAUGAUAUAACAUUGUCAUCACCCACCACAACAUUAGACACUGAGGGCAGCACAGCAGACACUGAGAUCCUGUCGCCUGUAGGAGCAUCACCAUCGCUAAGACAACAGUGGCCAGAGUUCUUUGACAUACCCAAUUAGCACAUAUCAUAGAGAGACAGGUGUUUGCUGAGUUUAAUAGAAUCGCCAGUAAGAAUCUUGAGGGAGACUUCUUUGAGGCUCUGGACCAGUAUGCCCCACGUUUCAUUGAACUUUUCAAAACAAAAUAGGGAACUGUUGGCCAGAAACUCAGGGAGCUGAUGCAGCACAUGAGCUGGAUGACACCAGACGACACAGUACUUCGCUCUGUUGUCCUCAAAGGCAUUCCCAUUUUACUCGGUGAUGACUCCAGUGAAUUCUACAAGACCUGCUCUGAUACAGAGAGAGACGAGGCCCUAGAAUGCAUCACUGUAGUCCUCACGAGGGUCAAAGCUCAGUGGACCUCCAGCCCAUCUCCACUGCCAUCAUUCUGGAGGGAGGUAUUCUCAUGGAUCAUGUUAAAAACUUGCCUCAGGCAGUUUGUCCUUUGUUUGGUCUUACAUAUGCAUUGCAUUUGGAUACCCAAAAUGCAUGGCAAAUACACUCAACUUCAUUCAGACUGUGAUGCUUGGACUGGUAAAGAAAAACCUCCCACCAAAACUGUUAACUCCUGAAGAACAGUCUUCUGGGUUAGAACAGUAAAGAGCCAUCGGCUGUCAGAUAGCACUUUGUAAGCUUUGCAGCCAUUAAUGUUCUCCUCUUAUCAGAGAAAGUUUGAUGCUUUCAUGGAACUGUUCUCGCUUAUUUACGUUCUCAAUGGAAAAAAAAAAAAGAAUAUUCCAUUAAAGUCUACCAUGUUAUGCAGGUAUGCUAAUGGUGGAAAUAGUGCCAUGUUGUGUUGCAAUGAGUUGUUAGAUGUUAUUAGAUGAUAAUGUCAGAAAAUAACCUAGCAAGGUUAUCCUGUUUACAUUUGUGUUUUGGGAAAACUUUUAAUGAUGUUUUUAUUUGUGUUGGUUUAAUCCUUGGACUGCUCACUUUGGGACACAAAAGUAUGUUGUACUUUCGGUUUUGAUCAGAAAUGCACUGAUUUUGCAUGCACUGAAGUCGUCCUGUAGUUACCUGUUUAAUAUUGGGAGACAUGCAUACAAUUAGCUCACAGAAAUGUUUUUAUUUUUUUUUUUAUAUAUUUUUCCAUGUCAUUUUAUACAGUUAAAUCAAACCACAACUUUGUUGUUUAGCUGCUGUUUUGUACUUGAAUGUGCAUUGAAUAAAUUUUGUAAUGGAGCUGAA